CCUACGGGAGGCAGCAGUAGGGAAUAUUGCUCAAUGGGGGAAACCCUGAAGCAGCAACGCCGCGUGGAGGAUGAAGGUUUUAGGAUUGUAAACUCCUUUUGUUAGAGAAGAUUAUGACGGUAUCUAACGAAUAAGCCCCGGCCAACUCCGUUCCAGCAGCCGCGGUCAUACGGAGGGUGCAAGCGUUUCUCGGAAUCACUGGGCGUAACGGGUGCGGAGGCGGGGUAAUAAGUCAGAUGUGAAAUCCUGUAGCUUAACUACAGAACUGCAUUUGAAACUGUUACUCUGGAGUGUGGGAGAGGUAGGUGGAAUUCCUGGUGUAGGGGUGAAAUGCGUAGAGAUCAAGAAGAAUACUCAUUGCGAAGGCGACCUGCUGGAACGUAACUGACGCUGAUGCACGAAAGCGUGGGGAGCAAACAGGAUUAGAUACCCCGGUAGUC
Molecule: ribosomal RNA, 440 nt
Filed under: uncultured bacterium
Lineage: Bacteria
Description: partial 16S ribosomal RNA
Rfam family: Bacterial small subunit ribosomal RNA
Source: RNAcentral